CAUAAUCUCCACAUGCAUGUUAACAAUUAAAUUACUAUGUUUUUGUUGUUGAUACCAGAAUGCCUCUCUCUCUUGUAGAAUAUCAAUAACAAGAACGAAAAAAAUGAUUUUAUGAGGACGCAGCAGAAUGGUUAUUACUAAUUGUUAACCAAUCUCAAAUUAAUAUCUACCACUUCACAAGCAUUUCAUUUAUACGUUUAAUGGCUGUCAAUACUAAAGAUUGGUUAAUAUUUACAAAAAAUCAAUUUCUCUGCAAUAGAAUCGGCAC
This 268-nucleotide long non-coding RNA is filed under the name Mytilus galloprovincialis (Mediterranean mussel). The record is from RNAcentral. Lineage: Eukaryota; Metazoa; Mollusca; Bivalvia; Mytilida; Mytilidae.